Molecule: transfer RNA, 72 nt
Filed under: Dreissena polymorpha
Lineage: Eukaryota; Metazoa; Mollusca; Bivalvia; Myida; Dreissenidae
Rfam family: tRNA
About the family: Transfer RNA (tRNA) molecules are approximately 80 nucleotides in length. Their secondary structure includes four short double-helical elements and three loops (D, anti-codon, and T loops).
Source: Rfam by way of RNAcentral
GUCGUGACAGUAUAACGUGUAGUACGUUACAUUGUGGCUGCAAAGGUUCAGGUUCGACUCCUGAUCGCGACA